RNAcentral lists this ribosomal RNA (617 nucleotides) under uncultured bacterium. Its description in RNAcentral is "bacterial SSU rRNA". The stretch from base 1 to 522 matches the Rfam family "Bacterial small subunit ribosomal RNA", at positions 338 to 873 of the family's 1533-position model. The record is from RNAcentral.
CCUACGGGAGGCAGCAGUGGGGAAUCUUGCACAAUGGAGGAAACUCUGAUGCAGCGAUGCCGCGUGAGUGAAGAAGGCCUUUGGGUUGUAAAGCUCUUUUGUAGGGGAAGAUAAUGACUGUACCCUAAGAAUAAGGUCCGGCUAACUUCGUGCCAGCAGCCGCGGUAAUACGAAGGGACCUAGCGUAGUUCGGAAUUACUGGGCGUAAAGCGCGCGUAGGCCGUUGAGUUAGUUAAUUGUGAAAUCCCAAAGCUUAACUUUGGAACUGCAAUUAAAACUGCUCGACUAGAGUUUGAUAGAGGAAAGCGGAAUACAUAGUGUAGAGGUGAAAUUCGUAGAUAUUAUGUAGAACACCAGUUGCGAAGGCGGCUUUUUGGAUCAACACUGACGCUGAGGCGCGAAAGUAUGGGUAGCAAAGAGGAUUUAGAUACCCUCGUAGUCCAUACCAUAAACGAUGAUUGUNUAGAUAGUAGUAAGUUAUUUACUUAGUAUACGCAGCUACGACAUAAGUACACUACCGCCGUCGGGAGGUACGACCGACGAACGUUAAACGUAACGAAAGAAAGUUAGUACGGACGUGAGACGUACGCCGAACGGACGACGACGAGGGAGGUAGG